This 1262-nucleotide long non-coding RNA is filed under the name Pan troglodytes (chimpanzee). RNAcentral describes it as "lncRNA (ENSPTRG00000053795.1)". The record is from RNAcentral. Lineage: Eukaryota; Metazoa; Chordata; Mammalia; Primates; Hominidae.
AAAAAGUCGGGGAGAGAAAUUUAAGCAUGUUCCGUUUAUUCUUUCCAAAUUUAUCAACCAGAUAAGUCAUUCCACUUCUUCUGAGGGAGUGAAGAAAGAGGCCAAGUUCAGAAUUUUACCAGUUGACUACCUUGACCUGGACAUAAGCACCAGAACGGUUGCACUCAACAACAAAGACUGUACUGGGAAUAGAAAGAUGAACAAGACAGUGCACUUCCCUUCAAAGAGCUUACAGAAUCACAACCAGCAGGUGGCCUGGGUUAUAACACGGUGCAUGUCACAGAAGGAGAGCCUCAUGCUUUGAUAUGAAACCAAGCUACUUUAACAUAGACUACUCUGGGAUCCAGGAAGAUAAAAAGCAGAUGGAAUAGCAAUAACAACAACUAAAGGACAGAAAAACCUAGCAACCACAAGGCAAGAGCAAGAUAAAAAUAAGAAUAAUAAAAGAUAAAUGCACGAAUUCCUAAACACCUUCCUCCUCUUCUCUCAGGUAACACAAAUGAAAGCCUUCUUACUAACAGUUUUCGGUUAUCUCACUGUAGAAGGUAGUCUGCUGUAGAGAGUAAUUCCAUCUAUCUACAGUGCUGUACUUGAAACUGAUAGUCCCAUAUGGAGUUUUUUGGAUACAGAUUGAAAUUAACCCUUAUGGACUUAAAGCUUGAAAAUUAUAUUUGUUUUAUAUGAGUCCCUUCCUCAGAAAAGGACCUUCAGGCCUCCCCCACAAAAAAAUAUCGGCCAGGCAUGGUGGCUCAUGCCUAUAAUGCCAGCACUUUGGGAGACCAAGGCAGGUGGAUCACCUGUGGUCAGGAGUUAGAGACCAGCCUGGCCAACAUGGUGUAACCCCAUCUCUCCCAAAAAAUACAAAAAUUAGCUGGGCGUGGUGGCAGGUGCCUGUAGUCCCAGCUACUGGGGAGGCUGAGGCAGGAGAAUCACUUGAACUUGGGAGGCAUAGUUUGCAGUGAGCCAAGAUUGCACCAUUGCACUCCCACCUGGGAGACAGAGCAAGACUCUGUCUCAAAAAAAAAAAAAAAAAAAAAAAGUAUCAAACAACUGAAUCUCACCAGAUCACGUCAGACAAUGACCAAUGACCAAACCCCUUAUUCAUCAUGAUUGCUUACUUGCCCGUCCCUACUAUCUGUUUUCUUACACAUUGUUUUAUUUCUUCCCUGCUAUAUACCCCUAGUUUUAGUCAGUCAGGGAGUUAGAUUUGAGACUGAGCUCCCAUCUCCUCAGCUGCAGCACCUGAUUAAAGUCUUCUUCCU